UAUAUCCUAGAUCUCUUUUGGUUUUUGGAUCAGAGCUGAGGCAAGCUUCUUUUACAAAUUUGUGCUGCAGUCUACUAAAAGAGCUGUUCCCUGCCAGGAGAAUAUUACAUACAGUUCUGAGAAAAAUGAACAGAGUCAGCUUGUUUGAGAGCUAACUGAUGCUUACUCACAACACUGAUAAGCCUGACAUUUACUGAGAAGUGCCACAAUUUUCAGUCCAAUGAAAAAUCCCAAGAGGAUGGUUUGUGGUUUUUUUUUUUUUUUUCAGUGAUGCUUCACAUUCUAUUGACUCAGGAUAAGCUGGAGUUUUCUGAAGUAUUUUAGUCAAAAAAAAUAAUGGAGCCCAACUCCUCCGCUUGAAUUACAUACAGAUGUACUAGUCUUCCUUGGCACAUUUGUUAAUGAUUGUGAUCAGAAGCUCUGGCCUCAAACCGCUCUGGGUAUGUGAUGCGAUAGCCAGGUGUGCAAGGAAGACAGUAGCUGAAGCAAUUGCUGAAGCAUUAGUGACUAUCCUGGAAGUUCUCGGAAGUGCAGGCUCCCUGGGUUUCACAGUUGGCACUGAAAUUGCAGAUAGGAUCCUGAAUGCAAUCAAUAAUGACCUGCACGUGGUCACUUUGAAUGGAUUGUCUCAGAGGAGUAGCCAACAAGAUAUGCACAACUGUGGAGAGUAAGCCUGGAGAACAUCCUCAGCUCUCUGAUAUGGGGAAGAAAAAUCUAGGUUGUACUGAAUUAUGAACGUGACUUCUACUGUAGAUAAAUUUAGUUUAGUAUAAAGCUGUGUGUAGUGGUCCCAAACUUUCAUCUUUCAAUCCUGCUUUCAUUUUCCUUUAUUGUUUGGAUGUAUUUUCAUCAUUCAUUCUGUGCUGUAGGAAGAAAAAAAAUUGUUUCUAUUUUGAGUUACUCAGCUGGCUGUCCCCAGGGUAUUUCCAAGUGGCCCUUAAAUGAGUGGAGGUAUUUUUCUGGUGUGCUUAGGCAGCCAUGAACUUGGAUCCACAGACCUCAGAAGGACUUUCCAGACGUACUCUGGAAAGCAGUAUUGCUCAUCUACAGAGUGCAAACUCAAAGAAUGAUGACUU
This 1076-nucleotide long non-coding RNA is filed under the name Anser brachyrhynchus (Pink-footed goose). Its description in RNAcentral is "lncRNA (ENSABRG00000021604.1)". The record is from RNAcentral. Lineage: Eukaryota; Metazoa; Chordata; Aves; Anseriformes; Anatidae.